Molecule: ribosomal RNA, 371 nt
Filed under: uncultured bacterium
Lineage: Bacteria
Description: bacterial SSU rRNA
Rfam family: Bacterial small subunit ribosomal RNA
Source: RNAcentral
AGAGGGUGCGGGCGUUGUCCGGAAUCACUGGGCGUAAAGGGCGCGUAGGCGGCCUGGUAAGUCGGGGGUGAAACGCUGCGGCUCAACCGCAGCACUGCCUUCGAGACUGUCAGGCUUGAGCACGGUAGAGGCUGGUGGAAUUCCCGGUGUAGCGGUGGAAUGCGUAGAGAUCGGGAAGAACAUCGGUGGCGAAGGCGGCCAGCUGGGCCGUUGCUGACGCUGAGGCGCGACAGCGUGGGGAGCAAACAGGAUUAGAUACCCUGGUAGUCCACGCCGUAAACGAUGGGUACUAGGCGUCGGGGGGAGCGACCCUCUCGGUGCCGUCGCUAACGCAGUAAGUACCCCGCCUGGGGAGUACGGUCGCAAGACUG